This 253-nucleotide ribosomal RNA is filed under the name uncultured bacterium. RNAcentral's name for it is "partial 16S ribosomal RNA". It matches the Rfam family "Bacterial small subunit ribosomal RNA", at positions 524 to 776 of the family's 1533-position model. The record is from RNAcentral.
UACAGAGGGGGCAAGCGUUGUUCGGAAUCAUUGGGCGUAAAGCGCGUGUAGGCGGCCCGGUAAGUCCGCUGUGAAAGUCCAGGGCUCAACCCUGGGAUGCCGGUGGAUACUGUCGGGCUCGAGUCCGGAAGAGGCGAGUGGAAUUCCUGGUGUAGCGGUGAAAUGCGCAGAUAUCAGGAGGAACACCAAUGGCGAAGGCAGCUCGCUGGGACGUGACUGACGCUGAGACGCGAAAGCGUGGGGAGCAAACAGG